GGGGAAUAGUGGACAAUGGGCGCAAGCCUGACCCAGCCAUGCCGUGUGGGUGAAGAAGGCCUUCGGGUUCUAAAGCCCUUUUGGUGGGGAAGAAAAGCAGCAGGCCAAUACCCGGUUGUUCUGAGGGUACCCAUAGAAUAGGCACCGGCCAACUGCGUGCCAGCAGCCGCGGUAAUACGAAGGGUGCAAGCGUUACUCGGAAUUACUGGGCGUAAAGCGUGCGUAGGUGGUGGUUUAAGUCCGUUGUGAAAGCCCUGGGCUCAACCUGGGAACUGCAGUGGAUAGUGGAUCACUAGAGUGUGGCAGAGGGUAGUGGAAUUCCCGGUGUAGCAGUGAAAUGCGUAGAGAUCGGGAGGAACAUCAGUGGCGAAGGCGACUGCCUGGGCCAACACUGACACUGAGGCACGAAAGCGUGGGGAGCAAACA
This 426-nucleotide ribosomal RNA is filed under the name uncultured Lysobacteraceae bacterium. RNAcentral's name for it is "bacterial SSU rRNA". It matches the Rfam family "Bacterial small subunit ribosomal RNA", at positions 356 to 774 of the family's 1533-position model. Lineage: Bacteria; Pseudomonadati; Pseudomonadota; Gammaproteobacteria; Lysobacterales; Lysobacteraceae. The record is from RNAcentral.